Oncorhynchus tshawytscha (Chinook salmon) is the source of this 543-nucleotide long non-coding RNA. The record is from Ensembl. NCBI's taxonomy places the organism in Eukaryota, Metazoa, Chordata, Actinopteri, Salmoniformes, Salmonidae.
CUCUUAGAUUUGGUGUCAUGUUCCCCAGAGAGCCACAUUUUAGAGGCAGGGGCCCCCUCCUCUCUCUCCCCAGAGAGAUGCCUUUUAGAGGCAGGUCCCUCCUCUCUCUUCCCAGAGAGACACCUUUUAGAGGCAGGUCCCUCCUCUCUCUCCCAAGAGAGACUCAUUUUAGAGGCAGGUCCCUCCUCUCUCUUCCCAGAGAGACACCUUUUAGAGGCAGGUCCCUCCUCUCUCUUCCCAGAGAGACACCUUUUAGAGGCAGGUCCCUCCUCUCUCUCCCCAGAGAGACUCCUUUUAGAGCACUGACCCCUAAACAGAGAUCCAACAUGUUGGAACAGUAAUUCUUGAAUGUCAAUUGUCUCAUUUAUUCAUUAUCUCUUUGAGAAAUAAAACAUUUACUAACAGACAUAGAAACAGUCAGGUGAUUUAAUGCAUCACAUGAAUAUGUAGUUGUGACAUUUCAUCUCCAUGGCAACUGUCUGUAAUAAUAAUAAGUCACUGUUUGUUAAGGUAGUUAUAGACAGUACGGCAACAAUAAUAAUA